Molecule: long non-coding RNA, 294 nt
Organism: Ipomoea nil (Japanese morning glory)
Lineage: Eukaryota; Viridiplantae; Streptophyta; Magnoliopsida; Solanales; Convolvulaceae
Exons: 2
Source: RefSeq, a predicted model, not a curated record
UAUACCAUGCCCCAAUGCCUUCCAUGUAUCUGUACCUGUGCAAAAGGCACCAAUUAUGCAGUUUUGAAACACCUACAAGCUCAUAACUUUCUAUACCCGGUGCAAAAGGCACUGAUUAUGAAACCAGCUUGGUUGACGUGAGUGUUCGUACACUCUCAUCCCUUAAGAGAGGUCGGGAGUUCGAACUCCCUCUCGUAUGAAAAAAUCAAUUUGACCCCAACACUUCCCUUACCUCCUACAGUUAGUGUCUGCUCAAGAUAGCUCAUGAUCUGACCCAAAAAAAAAAAAAAAAAA